Molecule: ribosomal RNA, 799 nt
Filed under: uncultured bacterium
Lineage: Bacteria
Description: bacterial SSU rRNA
Rfam family: Bacterial small subunit ribosomal RNA
Source: RNAcentral
AGAGUUUGAUCCUGGCUCAGAUUGAACGCUGGCGGCAUGCCUAACACAUGCAAGUCGAACGGCAGCACAGUGGAGCUUGCUCCAUGGGUGGCGAGUGGCGGACGGGUGAGGAAUACAUCGGGACCUGCCCAGACGUGGGGGAUAACGUAGGGAAACUUACGCUAAUACCGCAUACGUCCUACGGGAGAAAGCGGGGGAUCGCAAGACCUCGCGCGGUUGGAUGGACCGAUGUUCGAUUAGCUAGUUGGUAGGGUAAAGGCCUACCAAGGCGACGAUCGAUAGCUGGUCUGAGAGGAUGAUCAGCCACACUGGGACUGAGACACGGCCCAGACUCCUACGGGAGGCAGCAGUGGGGAAUAUUGGACAAUGGGCGAAAGCCUGAUCCAGCAAUGCCGCGUGUGUGAAGAAGGCCUUCGGGUUGUAAAGCACUUUUAUCAGGAGCGAAAUACGACGGGCUAAUACCCCGUUGGGCUGACGGUACCUGAGGAAUAAGCACCGGCUAACUUCGUGCCAGCAGCCGCGGUAAUACGAAGGGUGCAAGCGUUAAUCGGAAUUACUGGGCGUAAAGCGUGCGUAGGCGGUCUUUUAAGUCUGCUGUGAAAUCCCCGGGCUCAACCUGGGAAUGGCAGUGGAUACUGGGAGGCUAGAGUGUGAGAGAGGAUGGUGGAAUUCCCGGUGUAGCGGUGAAAUGCGUAGAGAUCGGGAGGAACAUCAGUGGCGAAGGCGGCCAUCUGGCUCAACACUGACGCUGAGGCACGAAAGCGUGGGGAGCAAACAGGAUUAGAUACCCCCGUAGUCC